GUUGUGGGAAUCCAGAUCUGUGCUGCUCUGGAAAAAAUGACUCCUGUCACCGCUUGAACUGUUUUUGUGACGUUGCUUGCCUGAGAAUUGGCGACUGCUGCCCUGAUUUCAAACCCACCUGCCUCACAGUCAAUAACAGCUCCAACGGCACUAAACCAAACAACACUUUGACGCUGACAGGAAAGUGUUCACAGCCGACUCUGUGCUGCAGUGGCCUAAACUACGACUGUUUCAGAGGCUGUUUUUGUGACGAGGUCUGUAAACAGUUCAAUGACUGCUGUCCCGACCUCAACAGCA
Molecule: non-coding RNA, 297 nt
Organism: Pimephales promelas (fathead minnow)
Lineage: Eukaryota; Metazoa; Chordata; Actinopteri; Cypriniformes; Leuciscidae
Source: RefSeq, a predicted model, not a curated record